CCCAGACUCCUACGGGAGGCAGCAGUGGGGAAUAUUGGACAAUGGGCGAAAGCCUGAUCCAGCAAUGCCGCGUGUGUGAAGAAGGUCUUCGGAUUGUAAAGCACUUUCGACGGGGACGAUGAUGACGGUACCCGUAGAAGAAGCCCCGGCUAACUUCGUGCCAGCAGCCGCGGUAAUACGAAGGGGGCUAGCGUUGCUCGGAAUGACUGGGCGUAAAGGGCGCGUAGGCGGUUUACACAGUCAGAUGUGAAAUUCCAGGGCUUAACCUUGGGGCUGCAUUUGAUACGUGUAGACUAGAGUGUGAGAGAGGGUUGUGGAAUUCCCAGUGUAGAGGUGAAAUUCGUAGAUAUUGGGAAAAACACCGGUGGCGAAGGCGGCAACCUGGCUCAUUACUGACGCUGAGGCGCGAAAGCGUGGGGAGCAAACAGGAUUAGAUACCCUGGUAGUCCACGCCGUAAACGAUGUGUGCUGGAUGUUGGGUAACUUAGUUACUCAGUGUCGAAGC
RNAcentral lists this ribosomal RNA (505 nucleotides) under uncultured bacterium. RNAcentral describes it as "bacterial SSU rRNA". It matches the Rfam family "Bacterial small subunit ribosomal RNA", at positions 330 to 852 of the family's 1533-position model. The record is from RNAcentral.